AUGAAUUACCUGCCACAAGCAAAAGACUUAAAUUAUCUUUGUGAUCAGUCAGUUACUACAUAUAGAGACCUUUCAGUCUUAUGCAAUUUUGUCAGCUGCUUACUCUUCCCAGCUCUUAGAAUUCAGAUCCAUUUGCAGUUACAUGGGUUUUCCUGCUUUUUCACGGUGAUGUGCGAUUUCGCGGUGGGUUUCUUUUCCAUAGAUAUAUUGAUUGUUGACAAAAUUAAGAAAACUAUUGGAGUAUAUUUCGAUGACACUAUUGGAUAA
Non-coding RNA from Vicia faba (fava bean), 267 nucleotides. Lineage: Eukaryota; Viridiplantae; Streptophyta; Magnoliopsida; Fabales; Fabaceae. The record is from the annotation of a GenBank genome assembly.